Molecule: ribosomal RNA, 439 nt
Filed under: uncultured bacterium
Lineage: Bacteria
Description: partial 16S ribosomal RNA
Rfam family: Bacterial small subunit ribosomal RNA
Source: RNAcentral
CCACGGGCGGCUGCAGUGAGGAAUAUUGCACAAUGGGGGGAACCCUGAUGCAGCAACGCUGCGUGGAGGAUGACGCAUUUCGGUGUGUAAACUCCUUUUAUAUGUCAAGAAAAUGACGGUAGCAUAUGAAUAAGCACCGGCUAACUCCGUGCCAGCAGCCGCGGUAAUACGGAGGGUGCAAGCGUUACUCGGAAUCACUGGGCGUAAAGGACGCGUAGGCGGGUUGGAAAGUCAGGUGUGAAAUCCUACAGCUUAACUGUAGAACUGCACUUGAAACUUCUAAUCUAGAGUAUGGGAGGGGGAGAUGGAAUUAGUGGUGUAGGGGUAAAAUCCGUAGAUAUCACUAGGAAUACCUAAAGCGAAGGCGAUCUCCUGGAACAUUACUGACGCUAAGGCGUGAAAGCGUGGGGAGCAAACAGGAUUAGAUACCCUCGUAGUC